RNAcentral lists this long non-coding RNA (3879 nucleotides) under Malus domestica (apple). RNAcentral's name for it is "long non-coding RNA (MDOM_LNC013766)". Lineage: Eukaryota; Viridiplantae; Streptophyta; Magnoliopsida; Rosales; Rosaceae. The record is from RNAcentral.
GUGGCAUACGCUAGCAAGUCUCGACCCCAGGAACACUUGGAAUAAAAACCCACUAACCAAUGAGCCGCAUGCUCAUCAUUGUAAAAGCUUGUAGAUGAUAAAUAUAAAACGAUAAAUUCCAGGAUAGGCCCCAGCUUCCGCAAACUGGUCCGUAAUGCUUUUAACGAUGUUGUUCAGCAUUUUUAUACAAUUCGAUGACUAAACCACUUUAGUUUUAAUUGAUUUUUUUGCAGAUGUGACAUUUAUAUAGUGAUUUAUAAUAUGAAUAGUUUUUAUCAUAAACACAAAGUCUAUAAAUGGGUGACAAACAAUUUUGAGUAGGAAUUUCUACUCAUCCGUUGAGUAGCCAAGUCAUACUCAUCUAUAAAUGGGUAACGAAUAAUUUUGAGUGGAACUUCUACUCAUCCAUUGAGUAGCCAAGUCCUGAUGACCCAAAUUCAAAAGUACUACGUCCAAAAUUUUUUGCAAGUAUCCUCAUAAACACAAUCUUUUUUCUUCUACUUUUUUUCUAAUUUAUUUUUCUAAUUAUGCAUAAUUGUUUUGAGAGUAACCAAAUAUGCAUAUAGAAUUAACAUGUGACAAAAGUACCGGAAAGAAAGAUAACAUGCCUCAUAGGCCUCUGAGAUCUUGAAUUUGGCUUCUACUUCUUUCUCGUUAGGACAAUUUUAUGGGGGUGUAUUCAAUUGAGAAUUUGAGAGACUUUAAUGGAUUUAUAAAUCCAUGGAUUUUUAUGGAGUUUAAUUGAUUUGUAGAGAUUUCAUAUAAAAUUUUGAUUCAAUUCCCUCGAAAUCUCAUGAGAAGAUGUGAGAUUUGUGGAUGCUUAAAAUACACUACGAAAUCUCUCAAAUUCCCUCUAAUUCCUCAACUUUCUCAAAUUCUUUAAAAUCAAUUUCUAAUUGAAUACACCUGGAAUGUUAUAAACUUCUUUAAAAUCCUAAUUGAAUACACCCAGAUUUCUAAGGAUUUUAAUAAACUAUCCUAAAAUUCUAAUUGAAUACACCUUGAAUUUCAGAGAAUCACUUAAAAUCUUGAUUGAAUACCCCUAAAUUCAUUAAAAGAAUUAAAAUCCCUCAAAAUCUCAAUUGAAUACACCCCCCUUAGUCACUAGUCAAGGCGUCAUUUCAUGGUCAACCUCCUAUAUGCCUUCUUUAUAUCGUCUUUCAUAACAUUUCUGUUUACCUUCAAUACUUUAUAAUAAUCCACCCCAUCUUCUUGAAAUACUAUUAUUAUAGCUUUAUUAAAGAAUAUAAUAAAAGUGAAAUACUCACCUUGAUGCUCACUCUGCUUUAGAGAUAUCAAUACAUAUAGAGCAUAAUCUAAUAAACCAGGGAGGUUUAUGAGCGGGAAAUGGGGAAUGUUGGUGUGCUCACUUCGUAUUCAAACAAUCCAAACUGUCUACUUUUUCAAGUUUUGGUUCAUAGAUAAUCUUUGCUAAAUAUUGGUUAAAUAAAAAAUGAUUGUGUGACGAAAGAAAUUGGUUAAUACUGAAAUUUCUUGAUGAGAAUCAAAUAGCUAAAUAGUUUCAUAAUGAAUUAAAUUUUUCACAAGGAUGAUCUAUGAAUCGAUUUUUAAAAAUUAGACUAUUUGGAUCAAUUUUAAAAUGAUGCGGACUGAGCCCACAAGACACUUCCUGGCUUUCAAUUAUAUAAGAGCAUAAUUGAAUUAAACUACUUGACUUGGUGACACCCCGACCCUGAUAUUCCCCGAAUACCAGGAUAGACACGUGCUGGCCGACACCUAAGGGUGACGAAAGCCAUUAAUUGAUACAAAAGCUAAGAAUAAAAAAUAAAUAAGGGUUAUGAAUUUAAAAUACAAUGAAUUAAAAAUUUAGGAACGUGCUCAGAGCAUACAACUAACAAGAGUUUUAAAAGAAUUAAUAUAAAAUUGAAUAAAUAAAGGAUGUGGAUCCUACACCGAGAGGACUCGAAUAUGCCAAUGCGAAAGCGUUGACGUCGGGAUUGUAUGCAUCGAUUCUAAAUCCUGUUAUAUACAUACAUAAUAAAAAAAACAGUUGUGAACAUACUAACCCCCAAUUUUUAAUAAUGAAAACUACUAGCAUAAUAAGUGAUAGGUUUUCAGAAACUCUAGCAUGCCAUAAAAUAUCUCGACAGGUAUAACGCGGAAAAAACAUCAUAUAAAUCAUCGCGUGUAUCAUCUCGUAAAUCGUCUCGUAACCGCGGUGUGCUGCCUGCUCCGUGGUCUCUACACCCGUAGCCAGAGAUUACCAACUCCCGGCCCAAUGCCUGCUCCAUGUCCCUCAGCCCGUAGCUAGGGAUUAUUUCUCCCGGCCUAACUGCCAACACCAGAUACUCGCCCCAGGCGGCAUAGUGUCCACUAGGUACGCACAAAUAGUUACGCCUUUCAUAAAUAACCACUUCAUAGUAUAAUGUUAUCCAUCGUCUAUACUAUAAAGAGGGGUUUCUAAAACAUGUUCUAGCAUCCUAUCGUCAUCCAUCAGAUAGUCUACCAGUUCAUGGUUUUUAUAGAAAAUACGAUAUAUUAAAAUAUAGCUCAAUAUAGGCUAACAAUGAAUUCUUCACCAAAAACACGAGACGAAAAUCAACAUGUUCAAUAAACAUGCUUAACAUAAAAUCAAAAUAUAAACUCGUAAGGCAUGCUAUUCAUUUAUGCAAUUGAACUAUAAAAUCAUGUAAAUUUUAGAAGGGGUCCACUCACAGUACUUCGCCAUCGAAAAGCCGUGCAGCUAACGAAUAUGCAAAAGCCACAAUAAUUGUCCCUAAGCACAUAAAGAGUCCAAUAAAUAAAACUAUAUAAUAGCAAUUGAAUUUGGGAAAAUGGACAUUGGAAAUGGAUUCAGAACGUCGAAUUACCCUAAUAAGGAUCCUGGAUAACUUUUGUGAACGUAAAUAGAAUAUUCCAGAGAAUAUUUCCUGACUGAUUAUUCUUUCAUGGAAUAUUCCCUAAUGGAAUAUUCCACAAGAAGGCUUGAGUCGGCUAGGGUUUAGGGUUGGAAGGGUUAAAGGGUUUAGGCUUAGGAUGCACGAGCCUAAGGCCCUAAAGGAAAAUGCCUUAAAGGCCUUAGGCUUUUUUGAAAAUCAAUUAAUAAACAAAAAUAAUUAAAAAGGUUGGGGUUAGGCUUAGGGCCCUCAACAGAUACAGCCCAAAGGCCUUAAGCCUAAGGGUUUUAGAACAAAACAAAAUAAAUUGAACUAAAAAGGGUUUGAAAGGUAUUGGGCUUGAAAGCCCAGCCCAAUUGUUUUGGGUUUGAAAUAAAAUAAAUAGAAACAAAAUGAAAUAAAAGGAGUUGGGUUGGGUUUAAGCACGGCCCAAAGGGCCUGGUUCGAAUGGGUUUAGGCCCGAAGGCCUUGGUUUCUUGGUCUCGCCGGAGAAGAAGGCCAGAAUUCGGCCAUAAUUUCCCUAACUUUAAACGCUCAUAACUUUGUCAAAACUCAACGAAAUCAAGUGAAACAAAAACGAAAGUUGUAGCCCUUGAAGAGAAAGAGAGAAUGGUACCUCAGAUGACAUCUAACUCACCGUGUUUUGGCUGGAAAAUGCUUCGAAAGCCUCGGAGGUCGCCGAAAACUGGGUAAGAUUCAAAUGAGUAUAACUUCUUCAAUACUCAACGAAAUUGAGUGAAACAAAAAGGAAAGUUGUAGUUCUCAGCGAGAUGAAGAGAUUGAUACCUUUCAUGCUAGCCAACUCGCCGUGGUUUGACCGAAAAUUGUCUCGAAAGUCACCGGAGUCGUCGGGGGAGACUUGGGUGUUCUUUGGAUGUCCCGGAGCUUCGCCGAGAUGGGGGACAGAGAAGAAAGUUCCAGAGGUGAUGGUGGUGUCAUAGCUAGGUGGUUAUGGUGGUGGGUAUGUGAGUGCACGAGUGUGGGUGUGUGCUCAUGGGAGGACGAGAAGGAGAGAAACGAG